Long non-coding RNA from Cololabis saira (Pacific saury), 378 nucleotides. RefSeq lists it as uncharacterized. The record is from RefSeq and is a predicted model, not a curated record. The transcript has 4 exons. NCBI's taxonomy places the organism in Eukaryota, Metazoa, Chordata, Actinopteri, Beloniformes, Belonidae.
CAUCCUGCGUGCACGGGGUGCAGUGUGGGGAUGGGAGUUGUGUGUGGGAAUCCCAGUGGUGUAACGGGGUGACGGACUGUCCUGCAGGCCAGGAUGAAGCCAACUGUGUGAGGCUGCACGGUUCCAGUUUCCUGCUCCAGAUCUACUGGACUCAGACCAAAGACUGGAGGACUGUUUGCUCUCACGGCUGGAGCGAGCGCCAGGGGAGAGCGAGCUGCCAGGACAUUGGUUACAGUAGGGGCACAUAUUUCAAGUCUGGUCUGCAGAGUGCUGAGGGUGAUGAUGGAUUCUUGGUCGUGAAGUCUGAUGCCAACACUGAGGCGUCCAUACUGCAACAACUGGCCGUAAGCAAUUCAUGUCCUAACAACAGUGUGGUGA